CCUACGAGAGGCAGCAGUAGGGAAUAUUGCUCAAUGGGGGAAACCCUGAAGCAGCAACGCCGCGUGGAGGAUGAAGGUUUUCGGAUUGUAAACUCCUUUUGUUAGAGAAGAUAAUGACGGUAUCUAACGAAUAAGCACCGGCUAACUCCGUGCCAGCAGCCGAGGUAAUACGGAGGGUGCAAGCGUUACUCGGAAUCACUGGGCGGAAAAAGCGCGUAGGCGGGAUAGCAAGUCAGAUGUGAAAGCCGAUGGCUUAACCAUAUAACUGCAUUUGAAACUGUUAUUCUAGAGUAUGGGAGAGGUAGGUGGAAUUCUUGGUGUAGGGGUAAAAUCCGUAGAGAGCAAGAGGAAUACUCAGUGCGAAGGCGACCUGCUAGAACAUAACUGACGCUGAUGCGCGAAAGCGUGGGGAGCAAACAGGAUUAGAUACCCUUGUAGUC
RNAcentral lists this ribosomal RNA (440 nucleotides) under uncultured bacterium. RNAcentral describes it as "partial 16S ribosomal RNA". It matches the Rfam family "Bacterial small subunit ribosomal RNA", at positions 338 to 795 of the family's 1533-position model. The record is from RNAcentral.